GAUGAACGCUAGCGGGAGGCCUAACACAUGCAAGUCGAACGCGAGUAGCAAUACUCGAGUGGCGCACGGGUGCGUAACGCGUGGGAACCUUCCUCGUAGUUCGGAAUAACUCAGGGAAACUUGAGCUAAUACCGAAUGCCUCCUUCGGGAGAAAGAUUUAUCGCUACGAGAUGGGCCCGCGUCAGAUUAGGUAGUUGGUGAGGUAACGGCUCACCAAGCCGACGAUCUGUAGCUGGUCUGAGCGGAUGAUCAGCCACACUGGGACUGAGACACGGCCCAGACUCCUACGGGAGGCAGCAGUGGGGAAUAUUGGACAAUGGGCGAAAGCCUGAUCCAGCAAUGCCGCGUGCAGGAAGAAGGCCUUCGGGUUGUAAACUGCUUUUGUACGGAGCGAAAAGGUCUCCUCUAAUACAGGGGGCUCAUGACGGUACCGUAAGAAUAAGCACCGGCUAACUACGUGCCAGCCGCCGCCGUAA
RNAcentral lists this ribosomal RNA (476 nucleotides) under uncultured bacterium. Its description in RNAcentral is "partial 16S ribosomal RNA". It matches the Rfam family "Bacterial small subunit ribosomal RNA", at positions 28 to 523 of the family's 1533-position model. The record is from RNAcentral.